CUUUUCUCUUUCUAAAUCCUUCUCUUAUGAUAACAAAAAUUCAAAAAUCUUGUGCUCAUAGGUAUCCAUUCGACCAGUACGUCAUGCACCACUGAUGCGGCAAUGCUACUCUAUCACUUCCCAUCCACCGGUGUAAAUGGUGGAGUGAGGCAUCAUAUCUCUCAGUCAAUCAACGAUACCCACCUUUUGCUUCUAUGAGGAUUACCAUCGAUUUUCUAACUAAGGAAAGCCUAUGAAGAAUCUACCAAAUAUUUUGGAGGGUACGCUCUUCAACCAGUCUUUUCAUCCGGACGUAACAAGUAAUGAAUUACAUCAGUCUAAGUCGAUCUUAUUGUUCACUUUCUUCCACAUUAGAGAAAAUAUUUGAGCCUUCUACUUGAAUAUGUAUAUGCUCAGGGGGUUGAAUAUAACCCGACUAGACAAAAUUCAUGUGCAAAGAAGUGAUGUAGACCAAAAGUCAUCUUUUACUAUUGGAAUUAGAUCAUCAUGUCAAAUAUUAUGUAUGCAGAAAAUGGUGUAGAAUGUCUGUAGAGGUAGUUGUGCUUUUUCCUGAACAUUAUUGUUAAUGUCAUUUGAAGGUCUGAGAAUUCAGUGUGUUUGUAGAAUGUGUUGAAUCCAUACCAUUUUUUAGUCAACUUUAGC
Molecule: long non-coding RNA, 642 nt
Organism: Solanum pennellii
Lineage: Eukaryota; Viridiplantae; Streptophyta; Magnoliopsida; Solanales; Solanaceae
Exons: 2
Source: RefSeq, a predicted model, not a curated record